AGUUCUAAGGAGGAGACAGUGUGCAGAAGAAACUAUUAAAGAUUGUGUGUUACAAAAACUCUCAAAUAUGAGCAGAGGGCUUUGGGUAGUAGAUGUCAUAUACAAAGAAAUGUUUGAAACACGUCUCCUGUUCCAUCGCCUCCCAGUUUAAAAUAAUAAAAUCUUGGGAGGAGUUUUCCUUGUCACCAAGCACCAGGGGUCUCAUGUAUCAACCUUGCGUAGGCACAAAAACUUUGCGUACGCCAGCUUUCACGCUCACGGUCGGAUGUACUAACAGUGAAAUUAACGCAAGAAUGUGCAUUCCUCCAAGCCAAUUUUGUGUCUGGCGUACGUUCAUUUCUCAUUGUUUUUGUUCGUUGGCGACUCUUACAGGCAAUGAAGUGAAGUUGCAAACAUUACACAACAAAUUGUUCUACAAAUCUGGCACCACCACCUGUGGGAAGCAUUGCAAUUAAUUUGCAAUUUAUAAAAUAAUUGACAUAUAUUGUCACACAAGCCUUAUUAUAAUUAUAAUUAAUAUUAUAUAAAUUAUGCAAUUAAAUAAGAACAUAUAAAAGCAUAACGGUUGAAACAACCCUUAGUCUAUGGCAAUGGCAGCGUUGGCCUUAUUAGAGGACAUUGCUAAUGGCAGAAUCCGACGAGAACGAGUUUUAGGGACCACUAUGAUUUUCUGGUCCAGGAUGAUGACUGGCUUAUCAGCCGUUUCAGAUUUCCAAGGGCUAUCCUCUUGGAGCUCUGUGCCGAGUUGGGUCUGAAUCUAGAGAGAGAGACAAUGAGGAGCCACGCAAUACCCGUUCUCUUGCAGGUGCUGACAACACUUGGUUUCCUGGCAACUGGUUCUUUCCAAAGGGAACUGGCAGACCGCUCAGGAAUAAGCCAGUCGUCUUUGAGCCGGGCAAUGCCAGCGGUAUGGGACGGGAUCAUCCGCAUGUCUACCAGGUAUAUCAGGUUCCCAUAUGAUGCAGUUGACCAGCCAAACAUUAAAAUGCAAUUUGCAGCGAUAGCCGGUUUUCCUAAUGUUAUCGGAGCGAUCGACUGCAUACACAUUGCUAUAAAGGCGCCAUCUGAAGAAGAAUUUGCAUAUGUGAAUCGGAAACAUUUCCAUUCAAUAAAUGUACAUAUAAUAUGUGAUGCACAAAUGCGCCUAACAAAUAUUGUGGCAAGGUGGCCUGGGUCAACCCAUGAUUCAUACAUCCUUACAAACAGCAUGGUUGGGAUGAGGCUCCAAGCUGGCAUUGUGCGUGAUGGGUGGCUUCUUGGUAAGUGCAUGAUUCUAUCUAAUUGUAGUUUUUUUUUUUUUUUUUGCAUAUAAUUAUUAAUUAACCCUUCAGGAGACCACGGUUAUCCACUAAAAACGUGGCUUUUAACCCCCCUCACCAACCCACAAACUGACCGAGAGCGCAGAUACAUCGAUGACCAUUCUUGCACUCGUUCAAUUGUAGAACGGGCGAUUGGGCAGCUGAAAUGUCGGUGGCGCUGCCUUGACAGGACUGGGGGGAUGUUGUUAUACCGCCCUGACAAGGUGUGCCGCAUUGUGCUGGCCUUUGGUGUGCUGCACAAUGUCGUGCACAGGCAUGGCAUACCACUUGGUGAGGUGGCAGCACCGCCAGAUGACCCCGACCCAGGACCAAUUUAUGUGCAGCCCAACCAACAAGCCGUUCAUGCACGCCAACAUGUGAUUGCGACAAUAUAAAUGGUAAUCAGAAACAAAAGUUCACUUUUUGAUCAAUUCCUUUAAUGAGUGGCUCAUGUCUGUGAAUGCGUCAGUGAUAUUUUUCAGGUGACUGUUAAUUUCCCCGAUGGCCAUAACGAUUUGCUAUUGUGACUCCAAAACAGCAUGUGUCAAGACGCGGCCAGAUGGACGGGCGUCAGCACUGGGGAGAGCACUGGAAACGCUGGGCACAGUGGGCGCUGGCUGCUCAGAAGGGGCGGACUCCGAAUGCCCCUCCUGGGCAGUGGAUGUUUCGGCUGUUGCGCCAUAUGGGUCUAAUUAAAAAGGCAAAUGUUAACUGUAAUUUAAGUACGUUCCAUUUUUAAGGGGCACUCACAUUUGCAAUAAAUGAAAUAGAUCCGUAAAAUCUCUGGUGUACUUUUGGUCCACUACACGCGUUGUGCUUGUGCAUGUGCGCUCAAUUUUACGUUAAUUGGGAUGUACAAAGGGAAUAUGCGUGGAAUCCUUCGUAUGCAGAGAUUCAUACAUCUGUUUUUUUUUGUGCGUACGCACAUUUACAGCUUUGUCCGUACGCAAUGUUAUAGUAUGAAUUCAACGCAAGUCUUUGUAUAUGACGCCCCAGGACAUUUAGAUUCUGGCUUGUCUCGUGAUUCCUGUACAGCACUAAUUAGUGCCAACCUUAAAAGAAUAAUAAUAAUAAUAAUAAUAAAAGUUCAGUUAACAUGCAUUGUGAAGAUAUUUCAUUGAUACACUCAAUUUACAAAUGAGUGAAUUUAAAUGAGUUAAAAGCUAUAGCGAAUUUAAAUUGGUUAAAGUGAUAAUUCACCCAUAAAUGAAAAUUCUGUCAUUUUUUUAUUCAAAAUAUCUUCUUGGAACUAUUUGUAUUGUACAACGUGUGUCUUAUACAAAAUAAAUAAAGGUGACUUGACUACACAGGGCACUGUAAUUUUAAGUGUUGCUUUUACUUACAGGUUGAAUGUCAAUGAAGGAACGCUUCAUUUCCGUGUAUGAUGUGCACACCAUUUUUCCAUUAGUGUGGUAUGGUGCAGAUGCACUGUAAAAAAUGACUGAUGCAAAAAGUUGUACAAAUGAGGAAAUACAUGUUGGCUCAACAUAAUGGUUGUGUCAAAAAAGAAAAAUAUGUUUGGUCAAUGAUAGCAUGAUUUCCAUGAAAGUACUACAAAAUGUUCAUCAAGAGAAAAUAAAUAAUUGUGUUGAGAGAACUUUUAACGUUGCACAAAAAAUAUUAUGUUGGCCGAGCAAGAGGGAACAGCGUCAAUCGUCUGAGCAUGCGCAAAGGAGUUCUACCAGGUGCAGGCAGCAGGCUGGAGUUUCCCCCACCACGAGUCACGACAUCGCACUGGUUUGCAUCUAACGUAUUGGGGUAACCGUGAAGUUAGCCAUUCCUGACAGCGCUGGACAAUCACACCCAGGGGUUGCUAAAGAUGUACAGAACCAAAGCAAGACAGGGAAGGUGAAACAACUUGGAUGAACUUCUGGAACAACUGGAUGCCCAGACCACAGAUCUAACUACUUAUAGAAGGUCUUCUGUUCUUCGUGGUCUUCCACUGUACUUGAGAGAGCCAGCUUCAAUUUCAAAGACUAUUAAGGAUACUGAGGCAUUGGGGCCACACACAAAGGCCAUGAAAAUGGGGAUCCUGGAAGUGACUGACAGUUCUACCAACUCAGGACCAUAUCCCACAGUGGUCGAUGUGGCUGUAGUACUGGAGGAGGAAGCUGUCAUGGACAAUCUGGGAGACUUCACAAAUGCCCUCAUGAUGCUUGUUUUGGCACUGGUUGAAUACUUGUGUAAUAUUUUACUUGAGCCUAACAGGCAAGUUCAUAUGUAUUUAAAUAAAUACAUAAAAUCUUCUUUAUCAAAGCACAGUGUGUAAUUUAUUUGAAAUAAUGAAAAAUAGAGUAUUUUGACCAAGAUUAAAUAUUUAAUACAACAUUUUAUUUCAAUUUGAGUCUGCUUGCUGGCCCAACAAGCUAUGUUUAGUCAACAGAAAAUAUUUAAUUGACACAACGUUCUAUUUCAAGUUCCGUCUACAUGCAGGGGUAGUCAGCACAACACAAAAAAGUUGGUUUCAGCAACUUAAAUUGGGCCAACUAAAAAUUUUAGGUGCAACGGGUCACUAGAAAUUUUUAUGUUGGAGAGGCAUAUUUUUUUUUACAG
Molecule: long non-coding RNA, 3851 nt
Organism: Carassius gibelio (silver crucian carp)
Lineage: Eukaryota; Metazoa; Chordata; Actinopteri; Cypriniformes; Cyprinidae
Exons: 4
Source: RefSeq, a predicted model, not a curated record